Non-coding RNA from Ceratotherium simum simum (southern white rhinoceros), 138 nucleotides. The record is from RefSeq and is a predicted model, not a curated record. Lineage: Eukaryota; Metazoa; Chordata; Mammalia; Perissodactyla; Rhinocerotidae.
CUAGAAAAGACAGGAACUGGUUAUGAGACAAGAGCCAGCCUAACAAGACAGGGCCAUCUGCAAGGCCCCUAGCCUAACAAGAUAAGGCCCCUAACCAAUCGGCAAGCUAGGAGAAUCAGAUAGAGACCACCAAGAUCC